GGAUGUGAGGGUGAUCUGGCUGCAACAUCUGUCACCCCACUGAUCACCAGGGUUGAUACGGCUGAUCUGGCUGGCUAGGCAGGUGUCCCUCCCUCCCUCACCGCUCCAUGUGCGUCCCUCCCGGUCUUCAGGUUGAUUGAGGGUAUAGGAGUAGCUGCGCUCCCCUGCUAGAACUUCCAGACAAGUUCUCAUAAAGUGAAGGAGUCUCUUGGUGCCACAUAAAUUUCUGUUUCUAAGGGAAUAGCUACUUCUGUUAGAAAUGAGAAUGU
This is an unclassified non-coding RNA of Erinaceus europaeus (western European hedgehog), 269 nucleotides long. Its record names the gene 7SK. It matches the Rfam family "7SK RNA". Rfam says of the family: 7SK was discovered as an abundant small nuclear RNA in the mid-70s but a possible function has only recently been suggested. Two independent studies have found that 7SK RNA binds the CDK9/cyclin T complex (known as elongation factor P-TEFb). The record is from Ensembl. NCBI's taxonomy places the organism in Eukaryota, Metazoa, Chordata, Mammalia, Eulipotyphla, Erinaceidae.